GCUGCCGACCCGGGGCCUCUGUCCUUGGGUCCCAGUUAUGCAACAGUCAGUCGAGGCUGUGGGGCUGGCCCAGGGGCUUUGUCUGUCUCCCUCCCCAACUUUUGCCAAGUUACCCUUCUGGGCUUCCGCCAGCCAGGAGCCCACACUCCCUCAGCCCUCCCACACGCUCCUCUCACCUCCUAGCUGGGCUUCGCUGACUUGAACCUGGCCGAGUUUGCGGGCUCGGGCUCCACGGUGCGCUGCUGCCUGCUCGAGGGAUAUGACACGAAGAACACUCGCCAGGACAACUCCAUCCUUAAGGGCUGCCAGAGGAACCCGACCAGAACCUGUCCAGCCCUGAGGAGGUGUUCCACUCUGGCCACUCCCGCAACUCCAGCUAUGCCAGCCAGCAGUCCAAGAUCUCCGGCUACAGCACAGAGCACUCGCGCUCCUCCAGCCUCUCAGACCUGACACACCGCCGCAACACGUCCACCAGCAGCAGCGCCUCUGGGGGCCUUGGCAUGACCGUGGAGGGCCCUGAGGGCAGUGAGCGGGAGCACCGGCCCCCGGAGAAGCCGCCGCGGCCACCCCGGCCCCUGCAUCUGUCCGAUCGCUCUUUCAGGCGGAAGAAGGACUCGGUGGAGAGCCACCCGACCUGGGUGGACGACACGCGGAUCGAUGCGGAUGCCAUCGUGGAGAAGAUCGUGCAGAGCCAGGACUUCACAGACGGCAGCAACACCGAGGACAGCAACCUCCGGCUGUUCGUGAGCCGCGAUGGCUCUGCCACGCUGAGCGGCAUCCAGCUUGCCACCAGGGUCUCUUCUGGGGUCUACGAGCCAGUCGUGAUUGAAAGCCAUUGAGGAGCAGGUGUCCGGGCUGGAGAAGAGUCCUGCUUUCUCUGGAGUCCAGACCUGUAUCAUUCCAUGAGGAACUUUCCCCUUCAGAUCACCUCUGCGCCACAUCUCAUCCAUGCCUCCUCCAUGCACUCCAGUCCACACUCCCCGUAGCAUCAUUCCAUUGCCCCUCCCAUCCAUGCUGGGACCCUCCUGGCCCACCAAGGCCCAGGCACCACUGUGAAUAUUCUCCUCUGAACCACUAGAGGGCAGGCCAGGCAGGCCAGGCGGGCCCGUGCAGCUUGUGGGCAAGAAGGAGCUGGCAAGGACCGGCGCUGCUGGAGACUGACCCAGCCCACUGGCUGAGGACAUGCAGCGGCUCCUAAAUGUAGAGAUGCCUGUGGCUGAGGGGCCUCUCUACCUGUGUCCCCACUCACUCCAGGAGCACUGGCUUUGGUCACGUCUUGGCAGCAGGGCCUUGCUCCGUUGUUCCCUUGCCCUGGUGGUGGGGGGGCCAGACCGCCUCCGGAAUCCUGCCACCUGUGACUGUCUGACUGCUUAGUGCUUCAGCUGUCCCUUCCUUGUGUCCUGGGGGACCUGCUGGCGGCCUCUUCCUGGGAGCCAUGACCUCAGACCCCACCCACACUCCAGAUCGAGACCCCUGCCUCCCCCCGGCAGAUGUCCUCCCGCUGCCUUGCAGCCUGCACUUUGCACAUGCUCACCCCCAGCACAGUGCCGCUGGCCCCUCACCUCCCCUUCCCUGAGCCCCUUCCCAAGGACUCCUGGUCACUGCCUGCUGUGCAGUCAGAGGCCCAGGGUCCAGCAGCCCGGCGGGAACGGGUGCUGCCUCUUCCUCCAGUUAGCUCCAGCUCAGGUCUGAGACCCGUGCUGAGAAAGGUCUGAGCACCGACCGUGCCCUCUGCCCAGGGCUGGGUCCUGAGCAGCUGGUUUUCCUGCAGGAAGGUUGGAGCAAGCAAAGUCCUUCUCUGCCCUCAGGGUCAGCUGCCCAGACUGGGGCGGAUGCCAGAGAGGCAGGUGGGCUGUGGCUGGACUGGUCCGGAGCUGGCUUCCUUACCAGAAAAGCCUCAGCCUUCCUCUGGAAGCAUCCCCAGUUCUGGGCAAGGGGGAAGGGCUCCUUUAAGGGGUGUGCUUUCCCAGUGGGGAGCAGUCUGGCCCUGCCCCUACUAAAGCCUCUGCUCUCAGCACUUUCCCCCAGGUCCUUGUAACUUGCUUGAAGGUGGGUUCUGGCUGCCAGCCAGUCCCUGGACAAACUCUCCUGCCCCUUUUAAAUUUCACUCAUUUUGUAUAAACCCAGCAGGCUGGUGUUUACUUAGCCCUGUAGCUUUUUUCAUUUUUUCUUUCCGUCUUUCUUCUUGAGUUCACGGUUCAAUAUUGCCUCCUCCCCCUGGUGAGGGGAGGUGCUGCUUUUCUGCCCCACCUGCCGGCUGGUUCCAGCAGCGCUGGGGCCCAGCUGGGGGGCCGGGAUGGGGGCUUCUCUCUCUGGGAGGGGUGCAGGUGCCCUCCCCAGGCUGGGAGGGUUCCUUCCCUAGCUCCCCAUCUGCCCCCGCUGGUGAGAGUUGGGCUUCUUGGUCUUGGAACUCCCUGGCAUUGGGAACAGAGCAUUUCCAGCAUUUGUUGUUGUUGUUUUACUCACCUAACCCUUAGAAAAUGAAUGUUAGAAGGUGCCUGCCGAGGCGGGACAGAGUGUUUGCUCGGGCUGGAGAAGGCUCUGCUCAGCCCUGAGAGUCCCUUCCUGCCCCACCGAUACUGGCACUUUAAAAAGGAAGCUGACCGCACAGUGUCCAGACGAAUUGGCCCCCAGAAGAUGGGGAGUUCUGUCCUGCCCUUCUGUGUCUGCGUGACCUCACCCAGCCUAGGAGGGAGGUGCAUUCAGGGUAGAUUUGCCUCUCAUUCAAAGUUCUGGGGCUUUGGGCGGAAAACAGCCAGCUUUGGCGCUGUUGGGGAGACUCCUCCAGACCAGGAACCCCAGAAGGAGACAGAGCCUGCCACAUCUUCCCACGCCAGGCCCUGGGCCAGGGUGAUUGGACUGAGAAUUUGGCCACAACCAAAUUGAUGCUGGCUGGAACCAGAGGCCAGAAAGCCUGGCCUUGUUGUCCCCAUGUGGGAGCCUUGUCCUCAGCCCUCUUGUCCCCUUGAGCUCAGUGAAUUCCCACCAGGUGCCCACAGCUCCUGGACUUCAAAUUCUAUAUAUUGAGAGAGUUGGAGAGUAUAUCAGAGAUAUUUUUGGAAAGGAGUUGGUCUAUGCAAUGUCAGUUUGGAAUCUUCUUGAAAGUUUAAUGUUUUUAUUAGGAGAUUUAAAGAAAAUAAAGGUCUGCAAUA
RNAcentral lists this small RNA (3152 nucleotides) under Pan troglodytes (chimpanzee). RNAcentral's name for it is "processed transcript". The record is from RNAcentral. Lineage: Eukaryota; Metazoa; Chordata; Mammalia; Primates; Hominidae.